RNAcentral lists this long non-coding RNA (1384 nucleotides) under Ananas comosus (pineapple). RNAcentral's name for it is "long non-coding RNA (ACOM_LNC014640)". The record is from RNAcentral. Lineage: Eukaryota; Viridiplantae; Streptophyta; Magnoliopsida; Poales; Bromeliaceae.
AUUGUCAUUAUAUUAUUAGGAAUAGGAUUAUAUUCCUAUAUAUAUAUAUAUAUAUAUAACAUACGGGAGUUUUAAAAAAACCCUAGCCGGCAUCUCUCUUCUCCUCUCUCUUUCAUAUUCUAGCAAAAAAAGACGUCCUUUGUAAGGUAGCUAGCACCCCGGUGAGGACAUCGAUCAAAUCAAGAACCUCGUGUGGAUACCUAUAGAGGUCGGACACGUGUGCGGCUUCAAGAGAACCCGAUUCUACGAUCAUCAAAUUGAGGUGAAGAUCUAUCCGCGAAAAAGGUAAAGAUUCGACCUUGUUUUCUUCUUUAAUCUUAAAACAUGAGAGAUCCUAAUUGCGUGGUUUUUGAGAUUGGAUCUCGAGAGUUUUCAAAAAUCAAAUUUGUUUGAUUUCUUUUUCCGCUGCGUUUUUACCAUACGCAAUUCUCUAACACAUUCUCCACAACAACGCCCUACCGUUCUCGCUGCCAUCAAUACCAACAUCGCACGCUAGGUCCUCACAGUUGCCUGUAUCACCUGGGACUGGCUCAACGGCCUCGCCAAUAGCAUCACCAGAGAUUGGUAUCACAGUCCUAUCAUCUUUUUCUUUUCUUUUUUUUCACUUUUUCACCUCCACAUGAAACUUAGGCUUAGUUUGGUAUUGAGGCCCAUCUGAUGCUAUUAGAUAAAAUAAAGUUGGGAUAAAAGUAUAUAGGGAUAUGCUUCUGCGUUCUUCGGUGGGACCGCGAAAAAUAUAUCAUAACCAACUCAUCGCGAUAUACGGAACACAAUAUUAUAUACAGAAACAAACAUGAUAUUUUUUCAUCGUACUUUCUCACCGCACGUAACGCAAUCUCCCCGUAAUCUCAAACGAAGCCUUACACCAUUUAAAACUAUUUAAAGCUAAGUCUCAAACAGUGCAACUUAGUCUUAAAUAGUUUUAAAUAAUGCAGUUUAGCCUAAAUUUUAGUCAAAUAGUGCAACUUAGUUUUAAAUAAUGCAGUUUAGUCUAAAAAAGUGCAACUUCUACUUUAUAUGGUACAACUUAGUCUCAAAUAAUUUUAAUUAAUACAAUUUUUGUUCAAAAGUGUAAUUUUUAUUUCUGACAAUACAACUUUCACUCAAAGAGUGUCAGUCUCGUCUCAUAUAGUGCAAUUUUCAUCUCAAACAGUAUAAUUUUUGCUCAAACACUAUAACUUUCACCUAAAAGGUAUAACUUUCAUCUCAAAUCUCAAAGAAUAUAAUUUUCAUUUCAAACAGUACUUGAAACAGUGUAGUUUCAUCUUAACAGUGCAACUCCAUCUUCAUUUUCCUUUUUCUUUAGUUCUUGACCUUUUUCUAUAGCAGCGGCGAUACAUAAUUAUCUUCUUAGGAGAAAAAAAUAUUUUUUUUAUUUUUUAUA